Long non-coding RNA from Bufo bufo (common toad), 587 nucleotides. RefSeq lists it as uncharacterized. NCBI's taxonomy places the organism in Eukaryota, Metazoa, Chordata, Amphibia, Anura, Bufonidae. The transcript has 2 exons. The record is from RefSeq and is a predicted model, not a curated record.
GGUACUAGAAUUGCUCAUUUCUUAUGUUGGCCUGCCACGUGCUGGCCAAAAUAAGAAUUGCAGCUUUAAUACCCUGGGUCUCUUCAGAGAGACCCAGCAUAUUAAAACCAAUUACUGGCACCCUCAUUGGCUGCAGAGGGUGGUGGUAAGAAGCCCGGAAGCACGAGCUUCCAAGUUUUUCGCCCUUUAGAUGCCGUGAUCACACUUGAUCACAGCAUCUAAAAGGCUUUAAUAACCGCGGUCAGCAUUAUUGCUGGUCGUGGUCAUUAGCCGCGGGUCUCUGCUGUUAGAAACAGAGAAGACCCGCCGGCCAUUGUGCCCGUUGUGAGUGUGAGCGGGCGGCAUGUUUAUCCAUCGCUCCAGCGCCAUAGCAAAGGGGUUAAAUGAAUGUCGCAAAACUUAAAAUGUAAAAAGACAAAUUCCAUUAUUGCUGUUUUUUUUUCAUUCCCCCUCCCAAAAAAAAAAAAGAUUUAAAAGUUAAUCAAUGAGUCGUGUGUACCCCAAAAUAGUGCAUUAAAACGACAACUCGUCUCAUGAAAAUACAAGCCCUCUUACAGCUACAUCGAUGGAAAAGUAAAAAAGUUAUG